AUGCCAUGGUGGGGACACUUCACCAAUAUACCCUUGAACCUUUCCCAGGUUUCUUUCAAAGUUUCAGUUGGUUGUUGCCUGAACUACAAUAUCUCAUCAAUUUGCUU
Molecule: small nucleolar RNA, 107 nt
Filed under: Nicotiana sylvestris (wood tobacco)
Lineage: Eukaryota; Viridiplantae; Streptophyta; Magnoliopsida; Solanales; Solanaceae
Description: Plant small nucleolar RNA R71
Rfam family: Plant small nucleolar RNA R71
About the family: R71 is a member of the C/D box family of snoRNAs containing the C (UGAUGA) and D (CUGA) box motifs. Multiple nearly identical copies of this snoRNA have been identified in Arabidopsis, and it is thought to function as a 2'-O-ribose methylation guide for 18S ribosomal RNA.
Source: Rfam by way of RNAcentral